UACGGAGGAUGCGAGCGUUAUCCGGAUUUAUUGGGUUUAAAGGGUGCGUAGGCUGUAAGGUAAGUCAGCGGUGAAAUGCCCCCGCUCAACGGGGUGAAGUGCCAUUGAUACUGCCUUGCUGGAAUGCGGAUGCCGUGGGAGGAAUGUGUGGUGUAGCGGUGAAAUGCAUAGAUAUCACACAGAACACCGAUUGCGAAGGCAGCUUACCAAGCUACUUCUGACGUUGAGGCACGAAAGCGUGGGGAUCGAACAGG
Molecule: ribosomal RNA, 254 nt
Filed under: uncultured Bacteroidales bacterium
Lineage: Bacteria; Pseudomonadati; Bacteroidota; Bacteroidia; Bacteroidales
Description: partial 16S ribosomal RNA
Rfam family: Bacterial small subunit ribosomal RNA
Source: RNAcentral